GAGUCGGCUGAGUGCAGGAUCCAUGGUGAGAUGACAAAAGAGGAAAACACACUAUAUGGAGAGAAGUACAAAUAAAGUAUUUCUGAACAAUAAAGGACAGAGUAAGAUAAUGAAUACCUGGAAUGACAUAUUAUUACUAGUUAGUAGAUCUCUUCUGUCAUCAUUAUUUACCCAUACACCGGUGACGUCAGAAGGGACGUGAUUUCCUCAUAUGAAAGUGAAAGUAACUGUGUAGUCUACACCGUUACAACAUGACUGUAGAAAAUGUAGCGCACAUUUCUCGGCAACAUUAGAAGCAGGAUAAAUGUGUUGAUUUGAAGGACAGACUGACAGACUGGAUCCAUUUUGAGACGACAGAGCAGAAAACACUAUAUGGAGAUUAUUGAAAAAUAAAGGGAAGCCUGGGCAACUGAAAUGUCUGAGCUUUUUCAACAGUCUGACUGUGAACAUCUGUACCAAAACCAAAUGAAGGGG
Molecule: non-coding RNA, 474 nt
Organism: Salmo salar (Atlantic salmon)
Lineage: Eukaryota; Metazoa; Chordata; Actinopteri; Salmoniformes; Salmonidae
Source: RefSeq, a predicted model, not a curated record